CGGCGGACGGGUGAGUAACACGUGGAUAACCUACCUAUAAGACUGGGAUAACUUCGGGAAACCGGAGCUAAUACCGGAUAAUAUAUUGAACCGCAUGGUUCAAUAGUGAAAGACGGUUUUGCUGUCACUUAUAGAUGGAUCCGCGCCGCAUUAGCUAGUUGGUAAGGUAACGGCUUACCAAGGCAACGAUACGUAGCCGACCUGAGAGGGUGAUCGGCCACACUGGAACUGAGACACGGUCCAG
This 244-nucleotide ribosomal RNA is filed under the name uncultured Staphylococcus sp. RNAcentral's name for it is "partial 16S ribosomal RNA". It matches the Rfam family "Bacterial small subunit ribosomal RNA", at positions 96 to 334 of the family's 1533-position model. Lineage: Bacteria; Bacillati; Bacillota; Bacilli; Caryophanales; Staphylococcaceae. The record is from RNAcentral.